GAAUAUUGGACAAUGGGGGGAACCCUGCUCCAGCCAUGCCGCGUGUGUGAAGACGGCCUUUUGGUUGUAAAGCACUUUACGCGAGGAGGAGGCUACGCUAGUUAAUACCUAGAGAUAGUGGACGUUACUCGCAGAAUAAGCACCGGCUACCUCUGUGCCAGCAGCCGCGGUAAUACAGAGGGUGCAAGCGUUAAUCGGAUUUACUGGGCGUAAAGCGCGCGUAGGUGGCCAAUUAAGUCAAAUGUGAAAUCCCCGAGGUUAACUUGGGAAGUGCAUUCGAUACUGGUUGGCUAGAGUAUGGGAGAGGAUGGUAGAAUUCCAGGUGUAGCGGUGAAAUGCGUAGAGAUAUGGAGGAAUACCGAUGGCGAAGGCAGCCAUCUGGCCUAAUACUGACACUGAGGUGCGAAAGCAUGGGGAGCAAACA
Molecule: ribosomal RNA, 424 nt
Filed under: uncultured bacterium
Lineage: Bacteria
Description: bacterial SSU rRNA
Rfam family: Bacterial small subunit ribosomal RNA
Source: RNAcentral